CCUACGGGUGGCUGCAGUCGAGGAUCAUUCGCAAUGAGCGAAAGCUUGACGAUGCGACGCUGCGUGAACGAUGAAGGCCUUCGGGUUGUAAAGUUCUUUCGCGAAUGAACAAGAGAGGUGCAUGAACAAUGCGCUAAUUUGAGGGUAAUUCGUAAAGAAGCACCGGCUAACUCCGUGCCAGCAGCUGCGGUAAUACGGAGGGUGCAAGCGUUAAUCGGAUUUAUUGGGCGUAAAGGGCGCGUAGGCGGAUUUUUAAGUCUGGUGUGAAAUACCGUGGCUCAACCACGGUGCUGCAUCGGAAACUGGAGAUCUUGAGGGUAGGCGGAGAAAACGGAAUUCCAAGUGUAGCGGUGAAAUGCGUAGAUAUUUGGAAGAACACCUGUGGCGAAAGCGGUUUUCUAGCUUAUUCCUGACGCUGAGGCGCGAGAGCAAGGGGAGCAAACAGGAUUAGAUACCCUUGUAGUC
This 465-nucleotide ribosomal RNA is filed under the name uncultured Chlamydiales bacterium. RNAcentral's name for it is "bacterial SSU rRNA". It matches the Rfam family "Bacterial small subunit ribosomal RNA", at positions 338 to 795 of the family's 1533-position model. The record is from RNAcentral. Lineage: Bacteria; Pseudomonadati; Chlamydiota; Chlamydiia; Chlamydiales.